CAAAUCAGAUUAAAGUCCAAUUAAUAACAGUAAAUCAAAUUUUAAUCAAGGUGAAAGUUUAAAAAAAGGAUUAGGGUUAAGAAUGUGACCAUUGAGCUUUCAAACGUUCUUCUCCUCCUCACGCAAAACACCGUCGGCGGCCGGAGGUCUCUCCCUCAACCUCUCCGAUCUCCGAUUCACCCUCUCAUCUCGGUAUCUUCACGCCUGUCUCAUCUCAGAUUCAAGUUCAAUCUCUCCACUUCCAUUUCGAUUAAUUCUCCCAGUUUCUCCGCUUCAAUCGCUUCGAACGGCCGGAAUUGCUCCGACGGCUUCCUCAAGAGACAGAUAGGUUAUUUCUCAUUCUGAUUCAACUUCUCGCCACCGUAGUUUAUGGCGGAGAACACAAACGAAUAUGCAGCAAUGAGAGAAGCUUGUCGACCGGAGAGCGUCCGCCGCACCUCCGAAGACCGCAAGAUCAACAAGAAAACCGUAAAUCUUUCGUCGUGCAAAGUUCAGAAAAUGGAGUUGUUGUUGAUGCUGAGGCGAUGAUGAUACGUUGAUAGAAGGAUGGAGUUUCUUGCGCUGAACUGUGAGAAUUGAAGAUUAUCUUGAGUUAUGGAGGAUUCGUGAGGAUUUGAGAUUAUGAGAGUAAUGAUGAUUCUUUUCUUCUUUGUCUGAGCUUCUGUUACACUUUUCUUGUGAUGCUGAGAAUCAAAUUAUGGCGGAGAAGUGUUGAAGGUGAUGAUUAUGGUUCGAGAUUGAAUUUUCUGAGUUUUUGAUGGAGAAUUCGUGAGAGGGAGAAGUAAUAGGUUGUGGAUUGAAGAAGGUUCAUAGUUUGAAGAGUGGUGGUGAUUGAGGAUGAUGAUUGAUUCUGAGAUUGUGAAGAUUCAAUUGGAUCUUGAAGAAAGUUUGUUACAGGUUUUUGCUCAGGGCGAGAGAGAGAAAGAGAGAGAGAGAGAGAGAGAGAGAGAGAGUUUCUUUCUGUUGAAAGUUUGUUACGUUUUUUUUUGUGAGUUUCUCUUUUCCUCUUCUGGUUUUCUGUUAUGUAUCGUGAGAGAGUAAUUGAAGAUGAUGAGAUCGUGAAAGUUGAAGAGUGUGAAGGAUUAUGGAGAGAUCGAGAAAACGGUUAUGGUGGACGAUUCAAGGAUCUGAAGUUUGUUACAUCUCCCUUCCAUUCUGUUACCUUCUUCCCUCUUCUGUUAUCCAUUUUCUGGUGCUGGCUCGGUUUUGUUAGCAUGCUUGUAUGCUUGGAAUGUCCUUGGCAUUGUUUGAAAAAGAAGUAGCAAAGGCCUAUUGGGCUUCAACUGGAGAUUGAAGAUUAGGAUAGAUAAAGAGAUUUGGUUUUCUAUUCAUGAAUGAGUUAUAUUGGAAUUUUUGUAAUGAGUUGGACUCUUCUUGAAUGUGAAUUGUGAUGAUAGAUCUUGCAAUGAGUUUAUCAAAGAAUGUCUCUUUUGAA
Molecule: long non-coding RNA, 1435 nt
Organism: Vicia villosa (hairy vetch)
Lineage: Eukaryota; Viridiplantae; Streptophyta; Magnoliopsida; Fabales; Fabaceae
Exons: 3
Source: RefSeq, a predicted model, not a curated record